RNAcentral lists this long non-coding RNA (3177 nucleotides) under Homo sapiens (human). Its description in RNAcentral is "non-protein coding LINC01388:7". The record is from RNAcentral. Lineage: Eukaryota; Metazoa; Chordata; Mammalia; Primates; Hominidae.
AAUGACGCCGAUGACAGCGACAGCGUCGGCCGAGUGCUUCCCCUGCUCCGGGUCGUCCAGGCACCGGGUCCUCCUUCAGCACUCGCAGCACGCACUGAAGAAGACGCUACGGAAGUCUCCGUUUUCCAGACUCGGGGGAAUUAGGAAACGCGCCCGGCGACCCUCGGGCAGUAGCACCGGGCCAGGUUUGCUUUCGGAACCGCUGACGCCACUCGCCGCCUUUCCCGCCUGGGCCUCUCGCGGGUCGCAGGGGUGGAAGCCCGACCUGGGCCAGGGCCCGGAUUUCUUCCUCCCGGCCUCUGCGCCGCCGCCCCCGGUGCCAGGACGCGCUUUGCUCUCGCCGAGACCCAGACGCGCCGAAAGCCUCGCGCGGGCAGUUCCCCGCCCCACGCCCCGGGCUGCGCGUUCUCCCGCGAAGCCUCUGCCGAGUGCGCGCGACGGCGCCGCCGGACUCCCCCGGACCGCGCUCCCGCGCACGCCUGACCGGAGCACCCCGCUUCACGGGGGCGUUCUGCGCGUCCUUCCUCCCCGGUGCGAUUUCCGUUCUUUUUCCUCUCGCGGUCCCCAGGAGCCCAGGCACCCCUCGACGCCGCUGCCGGCGGAACCGGGAACCCUCCCCGGGGCUCCCUGCGGGCCCGAAGCCGCCUUCCCGAGGCGGCGGAGUUGGGCAGCUCCGGGCCCCGCGCCGCCCCGCGCCGCCCCGCGGAGCCGGAGUUUCUCUCCGGAGUCUGGACACAGCUCUCCGCUUCGUCGCCGCGCACUGGACCCCGGUAGCGUGGAGCCUGCCCGGGAAGCUGGGCUGCGCCGGCCUGGGGCGAAGGUCCAAGGGGCGCGGGGGCCGGGACGCGGGGCUGUGGCGACGACCGGCCCUCUGCGAACGCUCAGGCCGGCGGGUCCGGGGCCACAGGCUGGGAGUGGAGCUGGCGGCCACUGGGGAGUAGAGAGGACGCCCAGGAACAGGUGCACCAGGGUCCCGGCGGCUGGGCCGAGGGUCGCAAGCAGAGGGGACCGGCGGCUGCCAGCAAGUCCCAAGCAGAUGCCUCCGGCGGGGCAGCCGCAUUUUACAGCGCCCAUUCCGCGUACAUCGAGUAUCCAAAACGAGUAAAAUCGGUUUAUACGUUGGAAUGUAGCUUAUGAUUCCAAAAUCUCAUCUCCAGGCUGCCUAGAUCACACGGCCCCGUUUCAUUCAUUUUUACUGAAUAACGGUCGUUGGACAAUUUAGAGAAGCAGCAGAAACCACGAGAAAAACAGUGGAGUCAAACGGCGGUAAGGACCGACAAGGCUGGCGGGGACAUUGAGCAAACGGCGGCUUCUGAGUUGGCACCUGUCCUUCACCACGUUGUGUGGGAAGUGUGGGGAGUCGGGAUUCCCACUCCUCCCCAGCCUUCCGGAAAAAUGCUCGGAAAUUUCCUUCCACAUUGACACCUGAUUACAGUCUAAAUAGUAACCUUAUUCUGAUUGUUAAUGUAACCCUCUCGUAAUCUCUACAAAAAUACUUUAGUUUUUCUAGCUGUGUUUUCAUGUAAUCACUGAAAUUAUUUUUAAUUGGUUUUAAGCAUUCAUUGAUUCCAUUUACACCACCUGCAAAAAAGUUACAUAGGUGAUCGCUAACAAUACUAGAAUUCGCCCCAUCCAAAGGAAACAUUAGAGUAGAAAAAGAAAAAGGAUUUGAGAAUCCAGUAGGAAAUUCAGUUAAUCAUUCCUUCCCUGUUACUCAACUACCUUAACAUUGUCAGGUUUACCUGAACAUAAACUUCAUUUUCUUAAUUGUUCUUAGAACGAAGGGAUAUGUUUAUUGAAAUCAGUAAUUAAGAAUAUUUUGGGACAGUUAUGAUUUACUUAGCCAGUGAAGCAGUUUCUAUUCCCAAAUCCAGGCAAAGAGAACAAUAAGAUUAAACGUAACCUAAGAGAUUUCCUUUUUGUCAAAUAAUGUGAUUUUGCUAUGUAUAGAGGAGAUGUCUAUAUGUAAGGGCAUAUUUAUGACCAGUAGUUCCUAAAAUUAAGGGGACUAUUAUUGUGUUACUCAAGGUAUCAGUUGUAUAGGAUACAUUAUGUCAUAUUUCAAACAAUGUUUAUAAAGAGAUUAGUAUAAUUAACCUGUGUGUACUUCUCCUCUGGGCCAACCUUGUGUCUUCUUUAUCUGCUGACAGUCCUCUCCCCACUGAAUUAUUUUGAAUCAAAUCCCAGAUAGUCUAUCAUUGUAUUGUAUUUUUGAAUAUUUCUCUAAAAGAUAAUAAUUCCAUCAAUGAGACUGGGUGCAGUGGCUCCUCCCUGUAAUCCCAGCUCUUUGGGAGGCAGAGGUUGGAGGAUCACUUUAGGCCAGGAGUUCAAGACCACCCUGAGCAACAUAGCAAGACCCCAUUUAUAAAAAAGAAGAUUCCCAUCAACGUAACCACAAUACCAUUAUCACACCUAAAUAAUCCAUUAAUAGCAUCGGUUUAUCCAGGCAAUAUUUAAAUAUCUUCAAUUGUCUAAAAACUUUUUGUUUAGUUGGUCGGUUUGAAUUAGAAUGCUAAUAAGGGUUACGUAUUGUGUUUGGUUGAUAUGGGCUAUUAUAUCUCUUUUAGAUUUCCUCAAUCCUCUUUUUUUGUUUCCCUUGCAUUUUUUAUGGGAGAAACUGAACGGUUUGUUCUGAAGAAGUUGACAUUCUGGACUUUGUAGCUGCAGGUACAUGGGCUUCUACAAUUUCGUCUAUUUCAUCCUGCAGUUAUUUUCACGGGUCUCUGUGUCCACCACUAUCUGGAAUCUCUGAGAUGGCGCUGUUGUAGGAGCAAGGUAUACAAUGAUGAUCAAGGCAGAUGCAGCCCUUACCUUCAGGUCGUGGAGUCCGGAUACAGACUGGAGGCAGAGGCAGCUGUAAGAUGUGUGACAAAUGCUGCGCUGGAUCAGCCCAUGGUAUUAGGAGAGCAGGUAAGGAAGGGUGGGGACGGGAGCGGACAACCUGGAGGAAGAGGCAGCUAAGCAGAGUCCGGAAGGCUGAGGAGGAGUCAGCAGGUGAAAGAGAGGGAAUCAUGACAUGCCAUCUCAACUGUAGGGCACGGCUAGCUGGCUGACUUAGCUGCUGUAACACCGGAUUUUUGCAAGACUCCCUGAGUAUUUCUCGUGGACUUGCGAACAAAUCUGAGCAAGAAAACCACGUAAUUUCUUUUAUGCCCUGCCCAAGAAAGCCACCUGGAG